Paramuricea clavata is the source of this 1012-nucleotide non-coding RNA. The record is from the annotation of a GenBank genome assembly. NCBI's taxonomy places the organism in Eukaryota, Metazoa, Cnidaria, Anthozoa, Malacalcyonacea, Plexauridae.
GGAAAACUCGAAAUUGUGUGAAAAGAGUACUAUAAUAAUAAAACUAACUAUAAUAAUAAAAUGUGGCUAACGAAAUUAAUAUUUUGCAUAAUUACAUAUGACAGAAAUCACAUUACUUUGACCAUGGAACAGUGACACUAAUAUAUGAUGACGUAAAUUGAUUUCUGGAAUGAAAUCUACAAACUACUUACUAUGGUACUUAACUUUUCAUAUGUUCGCUGAUGUAAAAAGUAAUAUGACUAUAUUACAGGAGUAUAAAAUAUUAAGAGAUUAUUUAACAUAUCUUUGCAAAUUUCCAAAAUGAAAAACAAAUGUUUGCCAGGGAUCGGUUGUUCAAAGCUGGGUUAGCGCUAACCCUCUGUUAAAAUUUAACCCUCGGUUAAUCUGCUGUUUUAGUUUAUGUAGUUUUCUGCAGAGAAGAAAACGCCUGUUGAUUCAGACAAGAUCUUCAGGGAAAAACAAGCUGUUGAAAAGUAUGCUUUGAAUUUUUGGUUAACCUAGGGUUAACCUAGCCCAGCUUUGAACAACCAGUCCCAGAAAGCUAGAGCUUGUACUUGCGCAGGCGCAUAACUUCAAAAACCAAGAAUUUUAAUUAGAGAUUAACGAAAAAUAAACGUCCGCCGCAAUGCCAUUCUGUAAAGCGUUUAUUGCCGAGAAAACUUUUCUUGCCGAAAGUCUGUGCCGAAAGUAAUUAAGCUACGCUUGCUUCGGACGUUUAUUUCAAUAUCAUCUCGUUCAGUCGACGAUAAUCUUAAUAAACAAGACAUCAUCCCUGAUGUACUGACGAUUAUUCAAGCUAUCGAGUGGCAUAAAAAGAGGGGAACCUGAAGCGAUAUUCAUGUCAGACUUCGGACGUUGAAAAGAUGAACUUUGAGGGUCCGAAUUAAACGCAUCAAUCAUAUGAUCUCCAUUGCCUUGAUCCAACAGCAUCAUCGUGAUCUUCUUUUGGAAUGGCCAGGUUUGAACAGCGUCGUAGUCGCCUCUCAUCACAACAAAAAACAACGACAAAUGC